Molecule: ribosomal RNA, 496 nt
Filed under: uncultured bacterium
Lineage: Bacteria
Description: partial 16S ribosomal RNA
Rfam family: Bacterial small subunit ribosomal RNA
Source: RNAcentral
GAUGAACGCUGGCGGCGUGCCUAAUACAUGCAAGUCGAGCGAACAGACGAGGAGCUUGCUCCUUCGACGUUAGCGGCGGACGGGUGAGUAACACGUAGGUAACCUACCUAUAAGACUGGGAUAACUUCGGGAAACCGGAGCUAAUACCGGAUAAUAUUUCGAACCGCAUGGUUCGAUAUUGAAAGAUGGCUUUGCUAUCACUUAUAGAUGGACCUGCGCCGUAUUAGCUAGUUGUUAAGGUAACGGCUUACCAAGGCAACGAUACGUAGCCGACCUGAGAGGGUGAUCGGCCACACUGGACCUGAGACACGGCCCAGACUCCAAGGGGAGGCAGCAGUAGGGAACCUUCGGCAAUGGGCGAAAGCCUGACGGAGCAACGCGGCGUGAGUGAUGAAGGUCUUCGGAUCGUAAAACCCUGUUAUUAGGGAAGAACAAACGUGUAAGUAACUGGGAAGGUCUGGAGGGUACCAAAUAAGAAAGCAACGGCUAACUACGU